AGUAAUUUAAUUCGAGAUUACAUAGCCGAAUAUACGGCUAACUCCCUAGAGAGCAAUUGGGAAAGGGAUAAUAAAAGGGUGAGAAACAGGAUGAGGACACUUUUCUAAUCUCAUCCCUUCUCUUCCUCUCUCUGGGGCACUUUUCUCGUCUCUCUAAAAAGUUUAACAUUUAUUUCUUUAUGUUGCCAGCGUGGCCAUAAGUGAAACUUAUACAAACUUUUCUCUUAUCUUUAGAGAGAGAGAGAGAGAGAGAUAAUGCAGAAAGGUAAUUGGAAGGGCAAAAAAGGAGAAUGUCGCGGGGACUCCUUAUCCAAGGAUGCGGCGCCGCUCCGCCCUUGUCCGAGGCCAACACCGAACACCAGAAUUUGAAAUUCAGGAGUUUUCCCGUCUUCCUCCUCCCCACUCCUUCCUCCUCCUCCUCCUCCUCCUCCGUGGUUGUUGUUGCUGCUGAUAAUAAUAAUGUUACUCCUCUUUCCAAAACCUCGGAGUCUAUAAUUUCAACAAGUGUGACAAUAUCAUCGUCAUCGUCUCCUCAAUUCUCACGCAGAAAUGCACUCCUCCAAACCGUCGUCUCUUCUCUCGUUAUUUCCAUUCCACCUUUGUCCUCCACCCGUUGCUCCCCGGCUGCAGCUCUCUCUAUUGGAAUAUG
RNAcentral lists this long non-coding RNA (649 nucleotides) under Amborella trichopoda. RNAcentral describes it as "long non-coding RNA (ATRI_LNC004942)". Lineage: Eukaryota; Viridiplantae; Streptophyta; Magnoliopsida; Amborellales; Amborellaceae. The record is from RNAcentral.